AUAUAAUCCUCUCCAGGGGCAGGAUGAUGCCACAGACUGUAGAGCCUGCCCAGCAGGUAGAGUUUGUACCCAGGCUGGCUUGACCCAGCCAGACUCAGAGUGCAUGGCUGGUUAUGUGUGUCCAGUGGGGUCUUCCAGCCCUCAUGCUCCCAGCAACGCCUGCCCUCCAGGCACAUUCAGCAAUCAUCUCCAUCUUUUUGAUAAGUCUCAGUGUGAAACAUGUCCUGCCAGAUUCGUCUGUACGAGAGGAACAGGAGGGAAGCAGAAGCCCCCUGUCCCAUGUCCAGUUGGUCACUACUGCCCCCCAGGCACAAAAUAUCCAGCUCAAUACAAGUGUGCCCCAGGUACCUGGAGCAAUAGGACAAGCCUGGCAUCAGAGGAGGAAUGUUUGCCCUGUCCUGCAGGCUGGUUUUGUGUGGCAGGAGCUCAUGUGCCUUCAGGGAGAUGCAGCCCUGGACAUUACUGCCCUGAUGGUACACGGACAAGCACCCAGUUCCCCUGUCCUGCUGGAACCUACAGUACCAGGCUGGGAAAUGGCCGAGUGGAAGACUGCCCCGCCUGCCCCAUGGGAUCCUACUGCACAGAUGGGACCUCCAAGCCAACUCUAUGCCCAGUAGGAACUUACCGCAAGGAGCAAGGAGGAAAGGUGGCUGAAGACUGCAUCCCCUGCCCUGGAGGAUACCACUGCCCUGAGCUUGGCACUGUG
This 706-nucleotide long non-coding RNA is filed under the name Gopherus agassizii (Agassiz's desert tortoise). Its description in RNAcentral is "lncRNA (ENSGAGG00000017180.1)". Lineage: Eukaryota; Metazoa; Chordata; Testudines; Testudinidae. The record is from RNAcentral.